GAUGAAGAACGCAGCGAAAUGCGAUAAGUAAUGUGAAUUGCAGAAUUCAGUGAAUCAUCGAAUCUUUGAACGCACCUUGCGCCCUUUGGCUAUUCCGAAGGGCAUGCCUGUUUGAGUAUCAUGAACACCUCAACCCUCAUGGUUUGCCAUGAUGGGCUUGGACUUUGGGGGUCUUGCUGGCCUAUAGUCAGCUCCUCUUAAAUGAAUCAGCUUGCCAGUGUUUGGUGGCAUCACAGGUGUGAUAACUAUCUACGCUUGUGGUUUUCCAUCAAGUCACCUUCAGCGAUGGAGGUUCGCUGGGGCUCAUAAAGAAGGCCUCUCCUCGGUGAGGAUGGCUCCUUUGAACGUUUGAUCUCAAAUCAGGUAGGACUACCCGCUGAACUUAAGCAUAUCAAUAAGCGGAGGA
RNAcentral lists this unclassified non-coding RNA (406 nucleotides) under soil metagenome. RNAcentral's name for it is "partial contains 5.8S ribosomal RNA, internal transcribed spacer 2, and large subunit ribosomal RNA". The stretch from base 1 to 121 matches the Rfam family "5.8S ribosomal RNA", at positions 35 to 154 of the family's 154-position model. The record is from RNAcentral.